Molecule: long non-coding RNA, 1766 nt
Organism: Oncorhynchus nerka (sockeye salmon)
Lineage: Eukaryota; Metazoa; Chordata; Actinopteri; Salmoniformes; Salmonidae
Exons: 3
Source: RefSeq, a predicted model, not a curated record
CCCCAAAUUAUUGGUACGGACUGCGUAGGUCAUGUGAUAAGAAUCCUCCGUGUGGUUUUUUUCGUGUGUGUGUACGGAAGCAGGCGCAAUGGGUGUCCUUUGUGAGGCAGUGGGAAACCUCCUGGUCUUUGGUUGAAUCUGUGUUUGAAAUUCACUGUACGACUGAGGGACCUUACAGGAAAACGAUGAAGUCUUGGUAGCAGAAUUUGGUUGAAAGGGACAUUCCAAUGGUGAUAUUCCUGGUGUCUGCUUCAAGGUGGUCAAAGUAGCCAAUGUCUCACUACUGGCCCUUUACAAAGGGCAAGAAAGAAAGACCUCGAUCAUAGAAAAUGUGUACACUCAAAAAAGAAAAAUGGAAGCCAUUUCUAUUAUGAGGAUAUGAAUUCUGAAAUGUGUAAAAUGUCGUAGACAUGUAAAUGUUUUAUUUCUAUAGGGUUAAUAGUUAGCAUAAAACAUGUGGUAGACAACUAUAAAGGAGCUGUAUAGCCUCUCGCUCUUUUUUUUGUGUUGUCGCAAUGCAAAGUAUUCUAAUUGUUUGUACCUUUAAAUGUCCCUGCAUAAAUUGCAAUGCAUGAUAAUGCUAGUCUGGUACCCAGUCUUUUUAGCUAAUAUUCCACUCCAUGUCAUUGCCAAAGAGACUGCCUAAAGGCCAAUCUCAACUUUCUAUAUGCAGCUGGAUUUGAGACUGAUUGGUUGUUGGCAAUAACAUUAUUUUCCAUGAUAUGUGGAGCCUCAAAUAGAAUUAUAGGCAAAUUGUUGUAUUUUGUGGUUGGAAUUGCAGUAUGUACAUGUAUAUAUUCGUUUCAGUACCAAUCAAAUGUUUGGACACCUACUCGUUCCACUUUUUUUUCCUUUUUUUGUGCUAUUUUCUACAUUGUGAAGACAUCAAAACGAUGAAAUGACACACAUGGAAUCAUGUAGUAACCAAAAAAGUGUUAAACAAAUCUAUAUGUUUGAUUUGAGAUUCUUCAAAGUAGCCACCCUUUGCCUUGAUGGCUUUGCACACUCUUGGCAUUCUCUCAACCAGCUUCAUGAGGCAGUCACCUGGAAUGCAUUUCAAUUAACAGGUGUGCCUUUCUUUCCUUAAUCCAUUUGAGCCAAUCAGUUGUGUUGUGACAAGGUAGGGAUGGUAUACAGAAGAUAGCCAUAAGACAACAUCCAUAUUCUGGCAAGAACAGCACAAAUAAGCAAAGAGAAACAAAAGUCCAUCAUUACUUUAAGACAUGAAGGUCAGUCAAUCUGGAACACUUAAAGAACUUUGAAAGUUUAUUUAAGCGCAGUUGCAAAAACUGUUCAGAGGAGACUGAGAAUCGGGCCUUAAUUUGAUCAAGAAGGAGAGUGAUGGAGUGUUGCAUCAGAUGUCCUGUCCUCCACAAUCACCCAACCUCAACCCAAUUGGGAUGAGUUGGACCACAGAGUGAAGGAAAAACAGCCAACAAGUGCUCAGCAUAUGUGGAAACUCCUUCAAGACGGUUGGAAAAUAAUUCCAGGUGAAGCUGGUUGAGAUAAUGCCAAGAGUGUGCAAAGCUGUCAUCAAGGCAAAGGGUGGCUACUUUGAAGAAUCAAAAAAAUAAAAUAUAUUUGAACUUGUUUAGCACUUGGUUAUUACUACAUGAGUCCAUAUGUGGAAUGUAGAAAAUAGUACAAAAAUAAAGAAAAACCCUUGAAUGAGUAGGUGUGUCCAGACUUUGGACUGGUACUGUAUUAACACAUGUAUUUUUGGUCCCAUGUUUUAUGAACUGAAAUAAAAGAACACAGAAAUGUUA